Molecule: ribosomal RNA, 720 nt
Filed under: Nonomuraea sp.
Lineage: Bacteria; Bacillati; Actinomycetota; Actinomycetes; Streptosporangiales; Streptosporangiaceae
Description: bacterial SSU rRNA
Rfam family: Bacterial small subunit ribosomal RNA
Source: RNAcentral
GUACUCGAGCGGCGAACGGGUGAGUAACACGUGAGUAACCUGCCCCUGACUCUGGGAUAAGCCUGGGAAACCGGGUCUAAUACCGGAUAUGACCGCCUCCGGCAUCGGAUGGUGGUGGAAAGUUUUUUCGGUUGGGGAUGGGCUCGCGGCCUAUCAGCUUGUUGGUGGGGUAGUGGCCUACCAAGGCGACGACGGGUAGCCGGCCUGAGAGGGCGACCGGCCACACUGGGACUGAGACACGGCCCAGACUCCUACGGGAGGCAGCAGUGGGGAAUAUUGCGCAAUGGGCGGAAGCCUGACGCAGCGACGCCGCGUGGGGGAUGACGGCCUUCGGGUUGUAAACCUCUUUCAGCAGGGACGAAGUUGACGUGUACCUGCAGAAGAAGCGCCGGCUAACUACGUGCCAGCAGCCGCGGUAAUACGUAGGGCGCAAGCGUUGUCCGGAAUUAUUGGGCGUAAAGAGCUCGUAGGUGGCUGGUCGCGUCUGCCGUGAAAGCCCGCAGCUUAACUGCGGGUCUGCGGUGGAUACGGGCCGGCUAGAGGUAGGUAGGGGCAAGUGGAAUUCCUGGUGUAGCGGUGAAAUGCGCAGAUAUCAGGAGGAACACCGGUGGCGAAGGCGGCUUGCUGGGCCUUACCUGACGCUGAGGAGCGAAAGCGUGGGGAGCGAACAGGAUUAGAUACCCUGGUAGUCCACGCUGUAAACGUUGGGCGCUAGGUGUG